Long non-coding RNA from Fukomys damarensis (Damara mole-rat), 2529 nucleotides. RefSeq lists it as uncharacterized. The transcript is spliced from 6 exons. NCBI's taxonomy places the organism in Eukaryota, Metazoa, Chordata, Mammalia, Rodentia, Bathyergidae. The record is from RefSeq and is a predicted model, not a curated record.
UAUCUGAUUGCUUUAAAAAACUUUAUUUCACGAAAACUGCAGUAGCAAUUUACAUUUCUCUUACACUUCACAGAGUGGUUUCUAGACAUAAUCCAACUACCUUUCACUUAUAAUCUGCCUCGAGGUAGGCAGAUGCGCUUACAUAUUGAAAACAUAAGCCUUGGAGGUCGUGGACACUAAGGCACUUACUGAAGUUACAGGGCAGAUCGCUUUGAAAAGUCAGACCACACAUUGGGUUAUGAUAUUCAUCUUUCAGAAAGUUAGCAGACAUUCUAAUGUAAUAUUUUUAAAUGAAUGGAAGAUCACUUAGAAACUUUUAUGCCUUAGAAUAAAAUUCAUUUUAAGCAAAUUUAUAACUGUGAUUUUGAGAAUAAUCUAAUCUUCCAGAAGGCCUGUAAUACAGCACAUGUAACAUCCUAGUGAAUGAACAGGAAAGUCAUACUCUUAAGCACCAGUUUUUGAGGUGCAAGAGAGAUUAAAUGCAGGGCCAUAUGUAUUGCUUUACUAUUGAGCUACAGCCCCAACCCCUAUACUUCAUUUAAUGUAGCGGGCACUUCCCACAGAUUACUGCAUCAGGCAUCAUAUAUCACAAUAAUAUAAGGUUUCCCAGCUUGGUAACAUGAACACUUUGGAAGGCAUGAUUUUUUGUUGUGGGAGAUUGUUUUGUGCAUUAUAGAAUGUUGAGUAACUUCCUUGGCCUCUACUCACUAGAUUCCAGUAGCAACACCUCAGUAAUGUCAAGUAAAAACAGUCUCCAAAUAUUGUAAACAUUCAGAUGAGAAGGUAAGCAAAAUAAUUUCUUGUUGAGAAUCAUGGCUGUGAUUUCACUAACUACCUGAGACAAAUGGUAAGACAGAGGUUAAUUAUCAUCUCCUCAAUAAAUUUAGCACUAACACUAGACCUUGAAAAGCUAAGAUUAGAAUGAAGUUUCUAGAACCUAAUGUGAACAAAGAGUUAGUGAGAAGACUCCCUUUCCCUGACUUUUAGGGUCACAACUAAUCUUAGCAAGAGAGAGAGAGAGAAAUCUCAAUAUAAAACUAAAAUGUCUUUUCUGUGUUUUGGUAAUGACUAACACAUGUAAAGAUACCAGAGCUACCAUCAAGUGGAAGACGUUAAGAAGAAAAAUCUUAUUUUUGUAGCAUUGGAUAAAAAACAAAACAGCAAAAAUGAAUACAGAGAAAUUUUUAUAUCUUCCUAUGGAGUAGCAAUUCUUGAAUAAAAAUAGUAACUGGUAGUCUGAUAUUUUUAUAUCUCCUCUUUAGAAGUUCAUGCAAACCUGCUGGAUAUGGUGGUACACAUCUAUAAUUCCAGCACUAAGGAGGCUGAAGCAGGAGGAUUUCCACGAGUUUGAUGCCACCCCAGGUUACCUAGUUUGAGUCUAUGGUUGACUGGCUCCAAGGCAGGAACAUCAGUGAAAGGAUGUGUGGAACAAAGCUGCUGAAUUCACGUUGGCCAGGAAGUAAAACAGGAGAACAACGCCAUAGAGGAAGUGGUGAGGAGUUAGACAUAGACUUCAAAGCCACACUUCCAUCAUCCACCUAGAUACGCCCAAAGGUGUGCUCCAUCGGCUCCCUGGGAGGUUCACAGAACCAAUGAAGUCAACGCUUUUCCCUAUCCACCUCCCAGCCUCUGCUUACAGUUUCUAGCAAUGGAAAUACUAAUGUGGGACUUCCUUCAAACUGCUCCGCCGCACGCUACUCUCAGAUGGGAACAGCACGGAGUCGGUUUAUGGGAGGAGACCAGGAACAUCGGGGGAAGAGAGAAGUCAAGUGUCACUGAACACAGAGAGAUGGUCUGAAAAAUGUGUCAUUGCAUAAUAAAUAAUGGUCUUCAUCUCCUAGGACCAAAUGGAGAUUAAAUCAGAACAAGAAAAAUAAUACAAUCAAGUGGUGUGACACACACAGAUUCACGAGAGCUAUGUGUGUUGGGAAUUCUCUUCUGAAGAGAGAUGAGGCAGCAGCUAAGAUCCAACAGUGCUCUAGAAAGUCUUUGCUCCAUGAAUUUCAGUUCUUAGGAGGUGCUGAGCCAUAAUUUGGAAGCGCUAUUCAAAACGCCAUGGGGAACACGCUGUGUAAACUCUUGUCAAUCUUUCACUAAAAUGGAAGAGCCCUGAAAACAUCAUACCAUAGCUAUAUAUGCACGCCCAUGUUUAUACAAGCACAAUUUGUAAUAGCUAAAUCUUCGAAACAAAACAAAUUCCCAACAACUAAAGAAGAUGUAGCUUAUUAUACAAUGGAGGACAACUAUGCAAUAGCAAAGGAUAAACUUGAGACAUGUAUAGUUAAGGUCCAAGGGCUCAGACUCGUGAUCAGCUUCAAGAUCUUUGAGGACAACCACCGCAGAAGUCUAUGACAAAAAUCUACAUAACAAAUGAACAUAUGAAAAAAUAUUCAACAUCACUGGUCAUUUGAGAGGCGCAGAUAAAAAAGAACAUUGAGAUUCCAUCUGACCCUGGAAAGAGUAGCUGCUAUUCAAGAAAACAACCAAUAACAAAUGCUGGCAGGGACGUGGAGAAAAAUGAACCCUUCU